Molecule: ribosomal RNA, 78 nt
Filed under: Citrobacter koseri
Lineage: Bacteria; Pseudomonadati; Pseudomonadota; Gammaproteobacteria; Enterobacterales; Enterobacteriaceae
Also listed under: 5 other names
Source: RNAcentral
CCUGGCGGCCGUAGCGCGGUGGUCCCACCUGACCCCAUGCCGAACUCAGAAGUGAAACGCCGUAGCGCCGAUGGUAGU